AUUGAACGCUGGCGGCAGGCCUAACACAUGCAAGUCGAGCGGUAACACAGAGGAGCUUGCUCCUUGGGUGACGAGCGGCGGACGGGUGAGUAAUGCCUAGGGAUCUGCCCAGUCGAGGGGGAUAACAGUUGGAAACGACUGCUAAUACCGCAUACGCCCUACGGGGGAAAGAGGGGGACCUUCGGGCCUCUCGCGAUUGGAUGAACCCAGGUGGGAUUAGCUAGUUGGUGAGGUAAUGGCUCACCAAGGCGACGAUCCCUAGCUGGUCUGAGAGGAUGAUCAGCCACACUGGAACUGAGACACGGUCCAG
This 310-nucleotide ribosomal RNA is filed under the name uncultured bacterium. Its description in RNAcentral is "bacterial SSU rRNA". It matches the Rfam family "Bacterial small subunit ribosomal RNA", at positions 30 to 334 of the family's 1533-position model. The record is from RNAcentral.